AUGGCUUGGUCCCCUCUCAUCUUAACACUCCUUAUUCACUAUACAGGAUCCUGGGCCCAAUCUGUGGUGACUCAGCCAUCCAUAUUAUCUGGAAAUUUGAGGCAGAAGAUGACCAUCUCCUGUACUGGAAACAACGACAACAUAGGACACAGUACCCAGGGAAUCUAUUUAGAUUGGUACCAACAACUCCCAGGAAGGGCACCUAAGCUGAUAAUAUAUGAUAUUACCAAUAGAUAUUCUGGGGUCCCUGAUCGCUUCUCUGGCUCCAAAUCUGGCAGCACAGCCUUCCUGAGUAUCACUGGGCUUCAAUCUGAGGAUGAGGCUACAUAUUGCUGCUUUGUUUGGGAUGUUAGUCUCAAUGGUCUCACAAUGUACUAG
This is a non-coding RNA of Erinaceus europaeus (western European hedgehog), 378 nucleotides long. Lineage: Eukaryota; Metazoa; Chordata; Mammalia; Eulipotyphla; Erinaceidae. The record is from the annotation of a RefSeq genome assembly.